Molecule: ribosomal RNA, 253 nt
Filed under: uncultured bacterium
Lineage: Bacteria
Description: partial 16S ribosomal RNA
Rfam family: Bacterial small subunit ribosomal RNA
Source: RNAcentral
UCCGUAGGGGGCAAGCGUUGUCCGGAUUUAUUGGGCGUAAAGGGCGCGCAGGCGGCGCUUCAAGUCCGUUGUGAAAUUUCAGGGCUUAACCCUGACGGGUCAACGGAAACUGAAGGGCUAGAGUGCAGCAGAGGAAAGCGGAAUUCCCGGUGUAGUGGUGAAAUGCGUAGAUAUCGGGAGGAACACCAGUGGCGAAGGCGACUAUCUGGGCUUUAACUGACGCUGAGGCGCGAAGGCCGGGGGAGCAAACAGG